AGCUCCAGUAGCGUAUAUUAAAGUUGUUGCAGUUAAAAAGCUCGUAGUUGGAUUUCUGAUGAGCCGCUACGGCCCGCUGUCUUUAUGUCAGUGCGUGCUGUGUCGUGCUUGUCAUCCUUCCAGUAAGCUGUGCCUACCGUUCAUUCGGCCGGGUACAUGUAAGCUGGAUCUAUUACUUUGAAAAAAUUAGAGUGUUUAAAGCAGGCUUAUGCUGUGAAUACAUUAGCAUGGAAUAAUAUUUUAGGACUUUGGUUCUAUUUUGUUGGUUUCUAGGACUGAAGUAAUGAUUGAUAGGGAUAGUUGGGGGUGCUAGUAUUCCAUGGCCAGAGGUGAAAUUCUUGGAUUCAUGGAAGACUAACUACUGCGAAAGCAUUCACCAAGGAUGUCUUCU
This 391-nucleotide ribosomal RNA is filed under the name uncultured eukaryote. RNAcentral's name for it is "SSU rRNA". It matches the Rfam family "Eukaryotic small subunit ribosomal RNA", at positions 587 to 972 of the family's 1831-position model. The record is from RNAcentral.